RNAcentral lists this ribosomal RNA (441 nucleotides) under uncultured bacterium. RNAcentral's name for it is "partial 16S ribosomal RNA". It matches the Rfam family "Bacterial small subunit ribosomal RNA", at positions 338 to 795 of the family's 1533-position model. The record is from RNAcentral.
CCUACGGGUGGCAGCAGUGGGGAAUAUUGGGCAAUGGGCGCAAGCCUGACCCAGCAACGCCGCGUGAAGGAAGGAGGCUUUCGGGUUGUAAACUUCUUUCGACAGGGAAGAGCAGAAGACGGUACCUGUCGAAUAUGCCACGGCCAACUCCGUGCCCGCACCCGGGGUAAUACGUAGGUGGCAAGCGUUGUCCGGAUUUAGUGGGUUUAAAGGGUGCGUAGGGGGAUGGUUGAGUCAGCGGUAAAAGCCCGGGGCCAAACCCCGGCGAGCCGUUGAAACUGGCUGGCUUGAGAUGGCGAGGGGUAGGCGGAAUGCGCAGUGUAGCGGUGAAAUGCUUAGAUAUUGCGCAGAACUCCGAUUGCGAAGGCAGCAUACCGGCGGCGAUCUGACGCUGAGGCACGAAGGCGUGGGUAUCGAACAGGAUUAGAUACCCUAGUAGUC